UACAGAGGUCCCGAGCGUUGUUCGGAUUCAUUGGGCGUAAAGGGUGCGUAGGUGGCGCCGUAAGUCAGGUGUGAAAUUUCGGAGCUUAACUCCGAAACUGCAUUUGAUACUGCGGUGCUUGAGGACUGGAGAGGAGAGUGGAAUUCCUGGUGUAGCGGUGAAAUGCGCAGAUAUCAGGAAGAACACCCGUGGCUAAGGCGGCUCUCUAGUACGGUACUGACGCUGAGACGCGAAAGCGUGGGGAGCGAACAGG
This 253-nucleotide ribosomal RNA is filed under the name uncultured bacterium. RNAcentral's name for it is "partial 16S ribosomal RNA". It matches the Rfam family "Bacterial small subunit ribosomal RNA", at positions 524 to 776 of the family's 1533-position model. The record is from RNAcentral.